Molecule: long non-coding RNA, 2014 nt
Organism: Leptopilina heterotoma
Lineage: Eukaryota; Metazoa; Arthropoda; Insecta; Hymenoptera; Figitidae
Exons: 5
Source: RefSeq, a predicted model, not a curated record
UUAAUUAUGUACUUAUUUAUUUAAACAAUAUACGGGACUUAUAAAGUUAACACUUUUUUUAAAAUAAGUAAAACAUUAAAAUUCACAAUGUAUAAUAAUAGGAUACGAAAGAAAAAAAAUUUUUUUAAUAGAAAAAUGACAGAUGAUGACAGGAGAAGAAAAAAAUACCGGCUCUAAAAAGCGGAUGUGAAGAAACGGAAAUUAAUAUUUAUUUAAAAUGAUUUGCUAUUUUUUCGCGCGCUUUGACAUCGUGAUUAUGUGUUAUCUUUGUUUAAUCUAUUCGCUACAAAAAGACAGAGAUAGAUAUUGUUUAAAGACCAUUAAAGUUCGUUUCGUUCGUUUAUAAUCUUUAAAAAACUGUUAAAAGCUUAAGUUUAUAGUUGUUUUUUCCCCUCUUUUUAGUGAUCUGUGCCGUUUAUUUAUUGCAUCGAUAACAAACAGGUUUUAUCUCGCACAACAUUGUUAGAAUUUUAAUAUUUGCGGAAAUGCAUCUUUCGUAUAUGAAAAGUUCAAUUUUCCAAAGAGAAUUAUUAGAAAAAGUUGGUGACAAGUUAAUUCAAAAGCCAAAAUGAGUAGAAAUACGAUAAAUACUUGGUUCAAGUGCAGAAAAAAAUAAUAACUUGGAACAUAACCUACAAAUAUAUAGGGGCGAAUACUUGACGUUUCGAGAUUCUACUUCAUGUUCGCCGAUUUUAACGAUCAUUAACGAUUUUAACACUAAUUUUCAGUCUUUGAUUGAAAUUUCCUGGGUGUCAAGAAGAGAGAACAAUUUUUCACCGAAAUAUAAAUUUCCUGGAUGUAAAGAAGGAGACGAAACAAUUUUAUACCAAAACUGAAAUUUUCUGGAUGUAAAAAAAAUUAUCGAACAAUUUUACACUGAAACAAAAAAUUCCUGGGUGUAAAGAAGGUGGAGAGGAGAAAAAAAAGGGAAGAUGCUCUUGUUGGCGCACAGAGACGGUGUGUUGUGAGAUCAACCUCUGAUUCAGGCAGUCUCCAUUUUUUUUAUAAUAUAAUAUGCUUUUAUGUACAGGGGAUUUUCACGUGUUCUCUGCAGAUUCUUCGGUAAAUUUUCUCUUGUUUUUUGGAAUAAUAAUUACAAACCAAAUGUUCUAAAAAUACAUAGCAACUUAACUAAAUCACAGAUAGAUCCCGCCUGACCAAGAUUUAGACGUGAAAUUAAAAAAUUAAUCUAGUAUCUUUGAUUUCUUUAGGCUCGGGCGACUCUUUGUGGCCCCCUUGUAAUUUUUGAUCACUCAUUAAUUAGAUCUAUUUUCUUUUUCUACUAGAAUUUACUUUUAAACGUUUAUUUAUAUUUUCUCUCUUGCAAUUUCUCCAAAAAAUUGCCGAGAACAUUUCUCGGGGAAUGAUCAAAGUAAUUAUCCCAAUUUUUAUAAAGUCGACCAGAUUCGCCACUUUCAAAAUUUCAAAAUUUGUACAUUAAUUUUAAUUUUUAUAAUAGUUGAAAAAAAUCUUUUCUUUUUUGUUGUAACCGAAAAUUUUCACCAUGAUCAUACCCCGUAGUUUGAAUCUAAUUUUUCGUCAGACGAGCUCACAAUUAUUGACAAUAGUCUAUAUUUUUUAUGUUAAUUUGCAGAUAAGGUGUCCGCAUUUUUUUUGGAAACUUUUUUGCGUUACAAUUACUGAUAAUAAUCGGAAAAAGGAGAAAGAGAGUGAGAGGAGAAGUUUGCGAGUGCAAUCGCUUUAGGACUUUCAAAGAUGUCAGUCAUGUUUUUUCUAAAGUGCAAUCUGGACGUAGGAUAUAACGCUUUUUAUAUUUUCGCUAAUACAAUUUAGGAAUAGUGAUGACUCCGGAAUUUUUCUCGAAAUCAACACAUUCCGACAAAUAUACCCGAUUUUCGAAAAUUUACAGUCAUGGGUUGUAAACUAUAGAGAUGAUGAUGAUACCAUUUUUCCUGCAAGAUAUCCAAGAAUCCGUUGCUGGUGUAAUUGGCUAUUACUUUGGAAAUGGUUUCAGUGAGAGGAUGUCCUUUAGACAAGGCAAUGGCAUAUGUGU